Molecule: ribosomal RNA, 203 nt
Filed under: uncultured bacterium
Lineage: Bacteria
Description: partial 16S ribosomal RNA
Rfam family: Bacterial small subunit ribosomal RNA
Source: RNAcentral
CGCAGGUGGGAAUGUAAGUCUUUCUUAAAAGUGCGGGGCUCAACCCCGUGAUGGGAAAGAAACUAUAUUUCUUGAGUGCAGGAGAGGAAAGCGGAAUUCCUAGUGUAGCGGUGAAAUGCGUAGAUAUUAGGAGGAACACCAGUGGCGAAGGCGGCUUUCUGGACUGUAACUGACACUGAGGCUCGAAAGCCAGGGGAGCGAAG